Molecule: ribosomal RNA, 1561 nt
Filed under: human gut metagenome
Description: bacterial LSU rRNA
Rfam family: Bacterial large subunit ribosomal RNA
Source: RNAcentral
AGUGAGAAUGCCGGAAUGAGUAGCGAGAAUUAUGUGAGAAUCAUAAUGGCCGAAAAUCUAAGGUUUCCUGAGGAAGGUUCGUCCGCUCAGGGUAAGCCGGGGGCUAAGGCGAGGCGGAGACGCGUAGCCGAUGCACAUACGGUUGAAAUUCCGUAGCCACCGAAAGAUUUAAGUACAGGGACGCUUUAGAAGUGAUGUUGCCGGGCGAUGGUUGACCCGGUCGUAAGGGAUCGAAAAUGAGUAGAGAAGUCAUCAUGGAAAGAGACAAGAAAAGCUGUAUGAAUAUCUUAGGUGCCCGUACCGCAAACCGACACAGGUAGAUAGGAAGAAGAUUCUAAGGCCAACGGGAGAAGGGUUGUUAAGGAACUCGGCAAGUUGACCCCGUAACUUAGGGAUAAGGGGUGCUCAAGUGAUUGAGCCGCAGAGAAUAGGCCCAGGCGACUGUUUAGCAAAAACACAGGUCUCUGCUAAAUCGAAAGAUGACGUAUAGGGGCUGACACCUGCCCGGUGCCGGAAGGUUAAGAGGAGAUGUGAGAGCAUUGAAUUGAAGCCCCGGUAAACGGCGGCCGUAACUAUAACGGUCCUAAGGUAGCGAAAUUCCUUGUCAGGUAAGUUCUGACCCGCACGAAAGGCGUAAUGAUUUGGGCACUGUCUCAACAGCCCGCCCGGCGAAAUUGUAGUACCGGUGAAGAUGCCGGUUACCCGCGACUAGACGGAAAGACCCCAUGGAGCUUUACUGUAGCCUAAUAUUGGAUUUCGGUAUUUCACGUACAGGAUAGGUGGGAGACUGGGAAGCACAGGCGUCAGCUUGUGUGGAGUCGACCUUGGGAUACCACUCUUGGAGUGCUGGAAUUCUAACCUGCGGCUUUGAAGCAAGUCGGGGGACAUUGUUAGGUGGGCAGUUUGACUGGGGCGGUCGCCUCCUAAAGAGUAACGGAGGCGCUCAAAGGUUCGCUCUGCAUGGAUGGAAACCAUGCGUCAGAGUGUAAACGCAAAAGCGAGCCUAACUGCGAGAAUGACGGUUCGAGCAGUAACGAAAGUUGGAGUUAGUGAUCCGGCGGUAUGUGAAUGGAAAUGCCGUCGCUCAACGGAUAAAAGCUACCCUGGGGAUAACAGGCUGAUCUCCCCCAAGAGUCCACAUCGACGGGGAGGUUUGGCACCUCGAUGUCGGCUCAUCGCAUCCUGGGGCUGAAUUCGGUCCCAAGGGUUUGGCUGUUCGCCAAUUAAAGCGGUACGCGAGCUGGGUUCAGAACGUCGUGAGACAGUUCGGUCCCUAUCUGUCGUGGGCGCAGGAUAUUUGAAAGGAGCUGUCCCUAGUACGAGAGGACCGGGAUGGACGCACCUCUGGUGCACCAGUUGUCACGCCAGUGGCACAGCUGGGCAGCUAUGUGCGGAACGGAUAAACGCUGAAGGCAUCUAAGCGUGAAGCCGCCCUUAAGAUAAGAUAUCCCUUCUGUUUACAGAGUAAGACCCCUUGAAGACUACAAGGUUGAUAGGCUCAAAGUGUAAGCACGGUGACGUGUUUAGCUAGCGAGUACUAAUCGGUCGAGGGCUUAACCUU